AUGGUUCCGCUAUUGACGGAUUUGAAUGCAGUAUGUAAACUCUUUCUGCUUCUCAGCCGCCCCGGCUCACUGAUUGGACCGUCUGCUGGUCACUCACAGGAAACGUUGAGCGUCACGACGCUCUCUGCUGUUCUGAUGCUGGGCCCGCCUGAUGGGUCGUUCACGGGAUACUCUGCCAGACAAGUGAGGCGUACCCCGUCAUGUCGGUCCGACAGAGUGAUAUUCAGCUGCCGGGUCCUGACGUUAGGCUCUUGGUCUCCGUGCGGUUCCAGCCGGCCCUCAGGGCCUCCUGACUGGCUCCAGCUCAGGUAUGUCCAUGCAGUAGAAGAGGAGGGGCUGCCCGGUGUUACCGGACGGGCGGAACAGAGAGCUAGAGAAGUUCUGGUUUCUUCUUUUAGCAAUCCUGACUGAAAUCAUCUCCUCAUUUGGGCCCAGGGUUCAAAAUAUUGAAUUAUUUCUUUAGUAAAAAAAAACAAUUUUAUGGCUGUGAACACUUUUCGGACGUUUUUAUUGCGUUUUAUAUCAUCAUUAAUAAGUUAUUUUACGUGAAAAAAAUAAUUAUUGAAGAUUGCAGUAGUAAUACAUUUUUUCAUGAUACAUGUUUUUCCACUUAACAUCAGUUUGAAUAGUGACCAUUUAUCAACAUGAAUAUGUUGAUAAAUAAAAAACUGUUAUUUAUUUAAAUUUGAUUGUUAAACCUGCUCUGUAUUUUACAGUACAUUAAGUGUGGUACUCUUCUUAUUCACUGUAAUUUGACACUAUCCGUCUGAAGACUUUGCUGCCAGACAUCUUUCCGUUUUUUUUAUGUUUCUUUUUUACACUGCAGACCUGGGUUCUGCACGGCACCACGCUUGGCAAAGUUGAUCUCUACGCAGUGGAUCUACUCUUCCACCUUCUUGUCUGACGCCUUGCAUAUUGGAUUCUGUGGAAAAGCAUUAAUACAUGAAUACAUGAACUGAAAGAAGAGUGAACAAGUGGUUCCAAUAGAAUAAUGGCCAACCUACUAAGAAAACAUUUGAACAAUAUGUGUUUAUUGAGGUAGCUGAGAACGUUAUGUUUAUUUUGGGAGAGCUAAGAUAUCGUUGAAUUAUUGGAAUAACUAAAAUAUGUUCACAUGAAGGCUAAGUAUAGCAUAGUUGUCUUUCCCAUAGUUGGCUCUGUGAGAAUAUGUGUUGUGGUUGACUGCUUCUGUAUGAGAUGAGAUAUUCUAAAGAGCAGAAACGCGGCCCGUCUGAUUAUGCCAAUAUCCCAGGGCUACUUUCACAUGACUGCAGUCCAAUUCAUCUGAACGGAGAGCAAAUGUAUCUUAUAUACCAGGUGAUCCGGCUUUAUGCUGAUCACCUUAUUUUCAUCAAUCCUGGGCCAAACAAUUAAGAGCUUAUGCAUAAUCACAUGAUUGGGACCCCAAGAAUCUGGGGUUUGUUGAACUAAAAAAAUCGCUUUGCACGGCGGGGUGCACACACACUCCAGCAGUUAUUUCAAAUGUUGAAUCGGCAAACAACGGCUUGGAAGGCAUGAUGAAAGAGCAGCUAUCAGUCUGCUUACAUUUAUAAUCAAAAUGACCUUUAUUCAUAGUAUAGUUUAUUAGCAUUUUU
Long non-coding RNA from Gadus morhua (Atlantic cod), 1595 nucleotides. NCBI's taxonomy places the organism in Eukaryota, Metazoa, Chordata, Actinopteri, Gadiformes, Gadidae. The record is from Ensembl.